This 924-nucleotide long non-coding RNA is filed under the name Zonotrichia albicollis (white-throated sparrow). Its description in RNAcentral is "lncRNA (ENSZALG00000014546.1)". Lineage: Eukaryota; Metazoa; Chordata; Aves; Passeriformes; Passerellidae. The record is from RNAcentral.
GCACUGGAGGCAGCCACUGCUCAGACAAACAGCAUUAGAAACUUACCAGGUGACUAUGCAAUGGUUUUGCCAAUGUAUUCUUUAUUUUUGGCUUAAGGAGCAAGCUGAGUGCUGAGACUUUACCAGGGCCAGCUUGAGCCUCUUGAAUUGCCUGGUCUGGUUGCACUGCCUCUGAGGAUGGAGAGCUGAAGAAGCUGCUUGCAUUCAGAUUGCAAUCCAGAUGCUUUUUUUGAGACGAGCAUGCAUUAAAUGUUUUUGAGCCAGUCCUGUGAGGUUGGCCCAACCUCCAGAAACAGUUUCCAAGCUUAUUGUCCAGAAUAGUGUGCUCUAAAUAUGCUCUGCUUCCCCCUGCUCUAGCUGGUCUGACCUACUGUGACCGUACAACAGGGUUUUUCUUUCAGCUCAGAAGAGAUUCAUAUUAAGAUCGGUGUUACUUGCACAGUGAAACAGCUUCUUUUUCUUCCUUGUUCCCUGUUACACACCUCCAGUGCCUGUCUCUGUGCUAGAUGAGAGCCUGUGGGGAAUUCAGGGAGUGCAGGUCUGGGCCGUGCAUCACCCUGUCACCAGGACCAAGCUGGGAGAGGCUCCCAUGAGGAGAGUGAUGCUUGUGCCUUGGACCUGCUGCCUCCCAGUCACCUACCGGGAGUUCCCCUCUUCCUGGACAGUCUUCCUGCCUGUGGAGUUCACCUCUGAGCCAGGCCUCCCAUAAUUAAAGCAAGCCUUGCUUUUGACUUUCUGCAAGCUCUGGAUUUCUGCAAGGCCUUUCCAGGACUUGCAGCUUUCCUCCAGCUCAGCCCUUGCAAGCCAAAUGAUGAGGCUUCCAGGGCUUCUCCCGUGGGAUGGCUCCAGUGCAUGCAUCUCACUGUCAGGAAGCUUUUCCUGACACUCAGCCGAAAUUUCCCCCUUUUCAAAUGUCAUCCUGGC